This 512-nucleotide ribosomal RNA is filed under the name uncultured bacterium. RNAcentral's name for it is "bacterial SSU rRNA". It matches the Rfam family "Bacterial small subunit ribosomal RNA", at positions 17 to 518 of the family's 1533-position model. The record is from RNAcentral.
UUAUGGCUCAGGAUGAACGCUAGCGGCAGGCUUAACACAUGCAAGUCGAGGGGCAGCGCGGUUGUAGCAAUACGACUGGCGGCGACCGGCGAAAGGGUGCGUAACGCGUGAGCGACAUGCCCGUCACCGGGGUAUAACCGAUGGAAACGUCGACUAAUCCCCCAUAACAUCAGAGGAGGCAUCUUCUUUGGUUGAAAUUCACGGAGGUGACGGAUUGGCUCGCGUCUGAUUAGCUAGUCGGCGGGGUAACGGCCCACCGAGGCUACGAUCAGUAGGGGUUCUGAGAGGAAGGUCCCCCCACAAUGGAACUGAGACACGGUCCAUACUCCUACGGGAGGCAGCAGUGAGGAAUAUUGGUCAAUGGGCGGAAGCCUGAACCAGCCAUGCCGCGUGCAGGACGACGGCCCCUAUGGGUUGUAAACUGCUUUUGCUGCGGAGCAAUAAGGGCCUCGAGCAGGUCCGAUGAGAGUACGCAGCGAAUAAGCAUCGGCUAACUCCGUGCCAGCCGCAGC